Molecule: long non-coding RNA, 720 nt
Filed under: Parus major (Great Tit)
Lineage: Eukaryota; Metazoa; Chordata; Aves; Passeriformes; Paridae
Description: lncRNA (ENSPMJG00000002112.1)
Source: RNAcentral
CUAACCUCCCUUGGAACCAAUGAGAUUUUUCAAAAAAUCAAUUUAUUGACAUGAUUAUCUCUUCCAGGUCAGACCUUCUCGUCUCAGACAUUCAGUCUGAAGCCACAGGUGAAGAACCCAGCUCACUGGAAUAACUGCUUGAGUUGGGUGCUAACUUCUGCUGAGCAAACCUUACAGCAGGAUUUUGUUCCAGGUAAAGAUUUCCUUCCAUGAUAAAGAUAAGCCAAAGCAAAGAAGGAAGAAACUAAGCAGUUUUUGUACUGGAGCAAAGCUGCAUAUUCACUUUUGGUUUCAGUUCCAAAUUGCAAGAAUGUUCAACUGAAAAAUGCACCUAUUUUCCAUUUUGGAACUCUUCUCUGCUCCUGACUGCUCUUUUCCUGUGGUUUAACUUAACUAUAGCAGAGAGAGGCUGGAUGGGAGCAGUGACAGAUGACAUCACAUCUCUCUGAAUUAACAAGGCUACAAACAACUACACUAAGUUCAGCUGAAUGGAUCAACAAAUAAGUAGAACUACUCUUUUCCACAGCUUCCCAAUGUAAGUCACAAGAACUCCAGCCUUUGGAAAAUUCUCCUUUAAAGAAAGACUAAUUAAUUUCACAUUCUUGUUUUUUGUACAUGUUAAUACCUUUUAUAGGCACUUAAGCUGAGCAGUCAUAUAACUUUUUAUGUUUUAAUGUGUCAUAUGUCUUUAAUAAAUAACUUCUAGUGUUGUUUGUUCCA